CUGGCCGAAUGGGUUGCGCUGGGGCAAGCAGUGGAAGGAGAAAGAGGAGGACGCUGCAUAAUGUGUUAGAGGUUAUUUUCUUUUCGGGGUCCCCUCUUUUCCGUCCACUCGUUUGUCAUUGAUC
Non-coding RNA from Caenorhabditis elegans, 124 nucleotides. The record is from Ensembl. Lineage: Eukaryota; Metazoa; Nematoda; Chromadorea; Rhabditida; Rhabditidae.